CAACAUUGCCUGACUGCAGGGAUGCUGGUAUCAACUGGAGAUCUGGGGGCUUUUAAUCAGAGAAUUUGCAACUUUUAAACAGAGAAAAGCAGGAUCCCUGGUCAUCAACAUGCUCACUUGCUUCUCCAGGACUUGCAGAUGUUUCUUUGAUCAUAUUCACCUAGAUGAGAAUAUGUAUGGAUGGAGGGGAUGUGCCAGGAUGCAGGUUCAGGAAGUAGAUGAAAUGUGGCGCCAGCUUGAGAGUUAUGCCAGCAUUAAAUGAGCAUGAAACACAAUCAAGACACCAGACCAUAAAAGAUGCAUGUACGUCCCUGCUACUUUCUUGUGUUUAUUACUCCAGGGAUUUCCAGGAGACUGAUCUUGUUUUCUAAAAUCAGGAUCAGAUCUCUGGCUGAUGUCAGUGGUGCAGGAUCAACCCAUCUAUGUGGUAAUAAAUUCUGUAUUCAAAGUUCUGCAAUACUGAUAUACCACCUAGUGAAGAACGAAUGAUCUUUGAUGCAUGCAGGUCUCUACAUAGGUAGGGUUAAAAAUAAUUUCAUUUUUGACACAGUAAUAAAUCAUUAUGGCUUCUCUGAAUUGAAUUCCUUAUGGAAAUUUUGUGGGGGAAAAAGUUACUGCAAAUGUAGAAAUUUCAGUAACUCAACUGACUGUUCAUUUCUCUUUGGAAAUGGUAGCAGACAGUAGGGCAGACCAUGGACAAAUCCCUUGCCAACUGUCUGUCUGUCUGUCUCUCGUAAUGUCAAAACUAUUUUUAAUGAUAAAGCUAUUUAACAUGGUAAACUACGUUCUUUUUUCUUCUAAACUCACAGGACUUCAAACAGUUUCUCUUUCUCUCUUUCUUUCUGCAUGUGUUUGCAGAAGUGGUAAAAUAAAUGUGAUCUCAGGAUGCAGCUUAGCUUCAGGUUAAAGGGAAUGUUUAUGACCACACUGUAAACCCCUGGAACAUAGGGGUUUAGAAAGGAAAUGCUGGCACAAUCUUAACUACUGUAUAACACCAAAGUAAUCAUUCCCUCCAACUGUGACUAUGUUGUCAGUUCUAUGGAUAAAAAAGGUGUUGCCUAGUCUCAUGAUCGAUUCCCAUGGGCAACUGUAUGUUCACUUAAAGCAGGUCAGAAUACAUCUGGGUAAGUCCUCAAUAUUUCCCUGUGAAUCGCAGGCACAGGCUUGCUGACUCAUUGUUCAAAGAGCUUGAGCAAAAUUGCACACCUCCCAUUUGAAUAUCAUUUGAGGGGUUGGGCUCUAAAUCCUCAUUGUUUGAACUGUCAAGAUGGUUGAAGUGAUUAGCAAGCUGCUUAGUUUAAAGAGAAGCCUAUUUUAGGUGCCUUGAUUCUCUGCCAAUAGUUUGUCACAUUUAUUUGUUGUCUCUUUCUCUCCCUCUCGGAAGGGACUGCUACAUUUUCCCCAGCGGUGAUUAAAAAUGAUGUCAAAUUGCAUGACUAUCUGAAUCUUUCACAAUUGAUUAUUAAUAGAGUUUUUGAACAAAUAAAACUGAGUUAAUUAGAGCAUUUGUAAUCAGUCCUGUUCAACUAUAACACAUGCCCAUAUCUGAUCACAGUGUAACUUAAAGUAGACAUGGCAACAGUUGGAUGUCAACACAAUUCAAAAGAGCUUUGUUUUUAUAUAGCCUCAGUGCUCUAGUCUGAUCUUUUUGACUCACUUCACAUGUUUUGUCAUGUUCUGUUACUUGUCUACCUGGUUUAUUGAGUGCAUAUUCUCCUGUAAUUUUAACUUUUCUAGCCAGAUGCUCUGCUAAUUCAUUAUGAAGCAUGGAUUCAGAUUGUCACCUGUCCUAAAGCAGUAGAUCACUAUUAACUUUAUAGAUUAGGAGGUCCUUGGGGCUGGUCUUGCAUGCAAUUUUCUCACACAACAUUUAUGUCACACAACAUUUAAAUGAUGCCCAGGAUGUAUAUGUGUAUUUUUAUGUCUAGGUUUUGUAAGAUUCCCUUCACCAUGGCAUUCAUAUAUGUUAUAGAGUAACCUCUGAGAUAAUUCUGAGCAUGGUAUGAGCAGAUAUAACUCUGCUUCAUGGUGAAUAAAUUUUAAAAGGUUCAAAGUCUGGGUUCAGUUAGGCAAUGCAGUUUUCGGAGGUUUGUCUGAAGCUUACUGCUAGUUCCUUGAACAUGCAAAAUGAGUCUGGAAGCCUCACAAAAAUGUGGUUGUCCUUUUCCCUCCUACAUUCCAGUAUGAUCCUCGUGCAGCUUCUCCAGAAGUCUAUGCAGUGUUUCCUGAAUUUUAUUUUAAGCAUGUUUGGUUAAAAAAUAAUCAUCAAAAUCAAUUUUACAUUUCUGAAACCUUCAAAAAUGUUUUUAUUUGGGUUUAACCCUGAAAUGUGGAAAAUUGCAGCUAUGUUAAUUCCCUACUUCCAUCUUAGCUGAAACUUGAAUAUUUUGGAACAAGGGAUAUCACAGCAGCGGACUACUGGUAUUGUUGUUGUGACUGCUUGUUUUGAGGGGCAUCUAUCAUGCAGUGUAUUACAUGAAGGGAGGUAGAUUGCAGGGCCUCUAAAGAUGAGUCUGUUGCUGGCUCACUGAAUGAUACAGGAAAAAAAUCACUCUACCUCUGUUAAUCAGCUACUUCAUUUAUAUACCAACAGUUAUACUGAAUCACUUUUUGUAGAGAACUAAAACAUAUGGAAGAAAGCUGCCACAACAGUGUAAAGAGUUUUGUGUUAGUCAAGAGAAUUUA
Long non-coding RNA from Alligator mississippiensis (American alligator), 2685 nucleotides. RefSeq lists it as uncharacterized. The transcript is spliced from 3 exons. NCBI's taxonomy places the organism in Eukaryota, Metazoa, Chordata, Crocodylia, Alligatoridae. The record is from RefSeq and is a predicted model, not a curated record.